This is a long non-coding RNA of Ornithorhynchus anatinus (platypus), 3828 nucleotides long. RefSeq lists it as uncharacterized. The transcript is spliced from 3 exons. Lineage: Eukaryota; Metazoa; Chordata; Mammalia; Monotremata; Ornithorhynchidae. The record is from RefSeq and is a predicted model, not a curated record.
UUAACAAAUACCACAGAAAAGGAAGCAAAAAGGGAAAAUGAGAGACAGAGUGGAGGGGAGAGUGGGGCCUGGGAGCUGAGGAGGCUUCACUGAAGAGCUUGAGUUCAUUGAUUGAUUGAUUGAUUUGUUCUUGAUUAGCCAACACCCUCCUGGGUGCAAAGCUCUAUCUGAAGUGCUGGGAAAGCCCCAGAGGAGCAUUAGACCCGCUCCUCAAGGAGCAUGUGAAUGGGUUGCAGGUGUCUAUAACUUAAGUCUGUUUUUCCAAAUCCUUUUAACGAGGGGCAGCUGCAAAUCCGCUUCUCCUUAAUCCCCUUCUGCCUCUUCCUUCCUGGAUUCUACAGCCCCACCCACAGAAACUCAGUCUCUCUUCAAUGGGCCAAGUGGAACUGUGCCUUUAAAGCCCCAGAGGCUGCUGGCUUUUUCCCUACCCUAUAGAGGUUCUGGGGUGUUAUUUCCUCUAGGCUGGCGAGAGAAGAUGGUAGCUGUUCCCUGGGGGUUUGGUGAGUGGGGCCUGGGAUUAUUCCUUGGUUAUCUUAUCUUUUGUUCAUUCAUCCAAUUGUGUUUAUUGAGGAUUUAUAUUGUACAAAGCCUUCUCCUAAGUGCUUGGUUGAUAAUCAACACCUAUUGAAAUGGUGAUGCUAAUAGGUUUAUUUUGAUGGCUCAGAACGGACUUGGGGCAAUUUAAGGCUGAGCUCAUUGAUUUUGACUAUCUCGGUGAGGGGGUGGCUUGUAGCGGGCUUUGGUUUUCUCUGGAAGAUUCAGAAAUGACUGUGGUCUGUUUAGGCUUGCGAUACCUGGUGACUGGACUGGUUUUGGUAUUUUGGCGUGGGAGAUAAGGCUAGGAUUGAGGAAGAGAAGUGGCGGGUUGAUUGGGACAACAAAAUUCCUCUGGAAUAGAGGAAAUGGAGAGGUUGUGAUGCCAUAAAGUAUUUUAUACUCUGUGUUUAGAGAUGACAGUUUGCUUUGGGGGAGAAAGGGAUGGGGCAGAAACCAUGGGAUGCAUGCGGGGGGGUGCAUGCUAAUUGUCUGUGUGUGUGUCUGUCAUUGUGUUCUGUUCGGUGUGCUCUGGCCAGCCCCUAGGUAGCUACGAUUUCCCCCUAUACUAUAAAUUCACAAAGGCCAGUGUCCUUCCCCACAUGGGACCCUGCGCCUGGGAUGAGGUAGAAGGUGCUGAGGUGCUUCUGCAAGGCUUGUGAGCCCCCUUAUCAUCCCCAAAGGGUUGCACAUCCAGCUCCUAUCCACUGGAAACUUCACCCGGCCCUCCAUCAUCCUCCUUGGAUUCAGCGCCGUGCGUUGGUCGCGGAAGCGUCGGUAUCAUAACAUCAGAUUGUGAGCCCCCACCCCGGGCAGGAACCGAGACCCGUCGGCCGUAGAGGGGUGGGGUGGCAGUACCGCCUUGCGCCCCUCUAGGGCUUUUAAACAGGAAGCCCCUCUGAAGGCAGCAUUGAGCCGACCUCAGCUGUCUAGGUGGGGACUCUCUCUCUCUUUGGGCUUCCCAAUUCCUCUACCCCAAGAUCCAACUUGCGCCUUCACCCCUGUGGGACUCCAUUAUGACGCCUCAAAAGCCCAACACUGAUUUGGUGUUCACUAACCACACGUGUGGAAUAGACUGGAAGCUCGUUUUGGGCAGGGGAAUGUGUCUGUUGUUCACUUGUACUCGCCCAAGUCUCUUAAAGAGUGCUCUGCACUCAAUAAACAUGACGGACUGAUGUGGAGCACCACAAACACAAGCACUGUUGUAGCAGCAGAAGCUGAGUCUCCUCCCCCACACCACAAGUAUUGAUUGAGGCAGAGCACUGUACUGAGCGCCUGGGAAACUGAGUUCCAAAGUGUAAAUCUCUCCUUGAGUUGUAACCUAGUCUGCAGAAUAUUUCCAGAUGACUCGUCGUGGCUCCUACUUAAAUGGGUGUAAUUUAUAUCUAUUAUCUUCCUUCCUCCUCUAGAUGGUAAACUCCAUAAUGGACAGGGAAUCUAUCUGUUGAUGGUGAUAUUGUGCUCCGUUCACGGGAAGUGAGGGGUAAAUACGAGGGACUGACUGAAACGGUUGUCCUUCGCAAUAGAGGCCUCUCCCCCCAUCCUCCUCAUGGUCUAGUGCUCUGUCAAAUAGCGUUCAAUAAACACUAUAGAUGUCUUAAUGCAAUCCUGCCAUCUUCUGCUGUACGUACUCAUUUACUCUGUUUUUCAUCUACUCGUACUGCCGAUUUGAGCUUGGGUUCAGCGUGCGAAGCUUCACGUACCGACCUUGUAUAUGCCUUUCCACCUGUGUGUACCUGUUUGAACGUCUGUCACGGAAUCGAUGCUUCUUUAGUGCGGGGGCCACGUAUGCUAUGUAGUGUUGAACGCUUGGAAGCGUUCAAACUGUGGUUUUUUUCAAAGUCAAUGUUUCCCCUUCUAGGCUUGUUUUGGGUAGGGCUGGUGUCUUUUUAAAUUUUUCUAAUCUAUGCUCCCAAGGGUGUAGUACAGUGCUCUGCACAGAGGAAGAGCUCAAAUCCCAUCACUUGACGGAAUGAGUGACUUAGAUUGUGAGCUCCCAGUGGGCAGGGACUGUGUCUCUUCCACCCAGCUGAACAAAGAGGGUGCUUAAUGAGGGGUGGUCUCGCCCAAGUGAGACCAAACCUGGAGCAGGGAAGAAGGGCAAGCGUGAAGGAUCAGACUGGCGCUCGGUAAGUGUCCGGGGCCUUGACUGCAUGAAGAGAAAGGGCAGAAGCCCAGCUUCUUUCUGCCGCCAUGGAGAAGUUUUCCAGACCAUCCUGCUCAGAGUGAUCACGCAGGCAUCAGUCCAGCUGAAGGAUGAGGACACAGAUGGAUGGAGCUGGGCCCAGGAGGCAGCACCCCCUGACCCGAGGAAGGAGGCAGAGUGAGAUUGCCCUGAGUCCUGACUAGGUGUAUACUUAAGGCCAUGGAAGGAGCCUGAGCCCCAGAUGCAUCACGGGAGACCAGGACCCCUCAUCUAUCCCUGCCUCCCCAAGGACCGCGUGGUGGGGACAGGAUGGAAGCUGCAGCGCGGACCCGAACCGGACCAGUGGCCCACGUGGACAGUGGAGGACUAACCGGCCCCUCGUGGGAUGCCGCGAGCACUGCACCGUCCCCGUGAGGGAGUCGGUGGGCCCCAGCCUGCUGCCCCCUGGACACCCUCUCCCGCCCCAAGCCCAAGAUUGUAUCCCCUUCCUCCAGACAAUGCCAUUUCCUUUGGGGAAGGGUCAAGGGUCAAACACCGCAUCGUGGGUGCCACAUGAAUCUCUGGUAAUUCCUAGAGGUGAUGGAUGUGCGUGUGUCUCCGGCGUGAGAACGAGGGCAGGGACCAGAGCAGGGUGAGAGGGACCGCCCCUCUUUGGAUGGGGAGCCGGGUUCUGGAAACUGGGGUCUAGAGUUCUGGACAGGUACUCUGAGGAUGGACUCAAGACCAGGUGUGAAGUCGCCUGGGGCCCUUAAUUCUAUAGUCAGCGUGGCUUCCUCCUGGCUUGGUCCACUGGGAGUUAUCUGCCCAGCUCUGGCUUCAAGAGUACAGACUCGCUUUCCUGGCCGAGGGGGGUGCCCCUGGGGGCGCGGGGUACAGGGAUAGCGGUAGUUAGGGUGUGUGUCUAUCUGCGUGAAUGUGUGUGUGACUGCCAUGUGUCAUCCAUCCCUCUUGGAGGAGCCGAAGGGGUGGGGGGAGGAUUAGGAGCAAAUCCUAGAGUGGGAAGAUGCAAAGUGGUUCCCCCUGCCCCCCGCCCCACUGCAGGAAAUGGCACAGUCUGACCCCCUCUUCCCCUCUCUGUCCCCUUGGCAGCUUGGCCUCUGUAAGGCCACAAGCAACUGUAUGGAAUAAAAUAUCUACGUUCUGCUUCA